RNAcentral lists this ribosomal RNA (1341 nucleotides) under Vibrio sp. Mj2. RNAcentral's name for it is "16S ribosomal RNA". It matches the Rfam family "Bacterial small subunit ribosomal RNA", at positions 90 to 1427 of the family's 1533-position model. The record is from RNAcentral. Lineage: Bacteria; Pseudomonadati; Pseudomonadota; Gammaproteobacteria; Vibrionales; Vibrionaceae.
GUCGAGCGGCGGACGGGUGAGUAAUGCCUGGGAAAUUGCCCUGAUGUGGGGGAUAACCAUUGGAAACGAUGGCUAAUACCGCAUAAUAGCUUCGGCUCAAAGAGGGGGACCUUCGGGCCUCUCGCGUCAGGAUAUGCCCAGGUGGGAUUAGCUAGUUGGUGAGGUAAGGGCUCACCAAGGCGACGAUCCCUAGCUGGUCUGAGAGGAUGAUCAGCCACACUGGAACUGAGACACGGUCCAGACUCCUACGGGAGGCAGCAGUGGGGAAUAUUGCACAAUGGGCGCAAGCCUGAUGCAGCCAUGCCGCGUGUAUGAAGAAGGCCUUCGGGUUGUAAAGUACUUUCAGCAGUGAGGAAGGUGAUGUAGUUAAUAACUGCAUCAUUUGACGUUAGCUGCAGAAGAAGCACCGGCUAACUCCGUGCCAGCAGCCGCGGUAAUACGGAGGGUGCGAGCGUUAAUCGGAAUUACUGGGCGUAAAGCGCAUGCAGGUGGAUGAUUAAGUCAGAUGUGAAAGCCCGGGGCUCAACCUCGGAAUUGCAUUUGAAACUGGUCAUCUAGAGUACUGUAGAGGGGGGUAGAAUUUCAGGUGUAGCGGUGAAAUGCGUAGAGAUCUGAAGGAAUACCGGUGGCGAAGGCGGCCCCCUGGACAGAUACUGACACUCAGAUGCGAAAGCGUGGGGAGCAAACAGGAUUAGAUACCCUGGUAGUCCACGCCGUAAACGAUGUCUACUUGGAGGUUGUGGCCUUGAGCCGUGGCUUUCGGAGCUAACGCGUUAAGUAGACCGCCUGGGGAGUACGGUCGCAAGAUUAAAACUCAAAUGAAUUGACGGGGGCCCGCACAAGCGGUGGAGCAUGUGGUUUAAUUCGAUGCAACGCGAAGAACCUUACCUACUCUUGACAUCCAGAGAAYUUUCCAGAGAUGGAUURGUGCCUUCGGGAACUCUGAGACAGGUGCUGCAUGGCUGUCGUCAGCUCGUGUUGUGAAAUGUUGGGUUAAGUCCCGCAACGAGCGCAACCCUUAUCCUUGUUUGCCAGCGAGUAAUGUCGGGAACUCCAGGGAGACUGCCGGUGAUAAACCGGAGGAAGGUGGGGACGACGUCAAGUCAUCAUGGCCCUUACGAGUAGGGCUACACACGUGCUACAAUGGCGCAUACAGAGGGCAGCAAGCUAGCGAUAGUGAGCGAAUCCCAAAAAGUGCGUCGUAGUCCGGAUUGGAGUCUGCAACUCGACUCCAUGAAGUCGGAAUCGCUAGUAAUCGUGGAUCAGAAUGCCACGGUGAAUACGUUCCCGGGCCUUGUACACACCGCCCGUCACACCAUGGGAGUGGGCUGCAAAAGAAGU